GUUGUAUAGUUAAGUGAGAAAGCGUACAGGGCGGAUGCCUUGGCAAUCAGAGGCGAAGAAGGACGUGCUAAUCUGCGAAAAGCGUGGGUGAGUUGAUAAGAAGCGUUUAACCCACGAUGUCCGAAUGGGGAAACCCGAUAGGCGAAGAGCCUAUCAUUGCGAGGUGAAUAAAAUAGCCUCGUAAGGCGAACCGGGAGAACUGAAACAUCUAAGUACCCCGAGGAAAAGAAAUCAACCGAGAUUCUGUGAGUAGCGGCGAGCGAAAGCGGAGGAGCCAGUAAGUAAUAGCAGCAGAGAUAGAGGAAUUGUCUGGGAAGGCAAGCGACACAGGGUGAUAGCCCCGUACUUAAAAUCCAGGCUGUGGUACUAAGCUUACGAGAAGUAGGGCGGGACACGAGGAAUCCUGUCUGAAGAUGGGGGGACCAUCCUCCAAGGCUAAAUACUCCUGAUUGACCGAUAGUGAACCAGUACUGUGAAGGAAAGGCGAAAAGAACCCCGGUGAGGGGAGUGAAAUAGAACCUGAAACCCUGUACGUACAAGCAGUGGGAGCCCCAUCACUCAAACACAUUGAGUGUUGGAAGAGGCAAAAAGCACCAAAAAUAACACCGCACUUUAAAGUGUAGGGUACGACGAGCGAAGCGAGUCAAACCCAAAAAUAGCAGUGUGAUUGAGUGAUGGGGUGACUGCGUACCUUUUGUAUAAUGGGUCAGCGACUUAUAUUUUGUAGCGAGGUUAACUGAAUAAGGGAGCCGAAGGGAAACCGAGUCUUAACUGGGCGAAGAGUUGCAAGGUAUAGACCCGAAACCCGGUGAUCUAGCCAUGGGCAGGUUGAAGGUUGGGUAACACUAACUGGAGGACCGAACCGACUAAUGUUGAAAAAUUAGCGGAUGACCUGUGGCUGGGGGUGAAAGGCCAAUCAAACCGGGAGAUAGCUGGUUCUCCCCGAAAUCUAUUUAGGUAGAGCCUUGUGUGAAUACCUUUGGGGGUAGAGCACUGUUUCGGCUAGGGGCCCAUCCCGGGUUACCAAACCGAUGCAAACUCCGAAUACCAAAGAGUAAUGCACAGGAGACACACGGCGGGUGCUAACGUCCGUCGUGGAGAGGGAAACAACCCAGACCGCCAGCUAAGGUCCCAAAAUCUAUAUUAAGUGGGAAACGAAGUGGGAAGGCUUAGACAGCUAGGAUGUUGGCUUAGAAGCAGCCACCAUUUAAAGAAAGCGUAAUAGCUCACUAGUCGAGUCGGCCUGCGCGGAAGAUGUAACGGGGCUAAAAUAUAGUACCGAAGCUGCGGCAUCAGGCGUAUCACUAAUACGCCUUAACGAUUAACCACUUGCGAAGCAAGUGGGUAAAGCGAAAAACACGUUGAGUGUAAUGGCAAAGAAUCGAAGAGGGAUAUUAGUGAUACGUCUGUUGGGUAGGGGAGCGUUGUGUAAGCGGAAGAAGGUGAUUUGAGAAGAUUGCUGGACGUAUCACAAGUGCGAAUGCUGACAUAAGUAACGAUAAAACGGGUGAAAAACCCGUUCGCCGGAAGACCAAGGGUUCCUGUCCAACGUUAAUCGGGGCAGGGUGAGUCGGCCCCUAAGGCGAGGCUGAAAAGCGUAGUCGAUGGGAAACGGGUUAAUAUUCCCGUACUUGGUAAAGCUGCGAUGUGGGGACGGAGAAGGUUAGGUUAUCGACCUGUUGGAUAUGGUCGUUUAAGUUGGUAGGUGGGUGAGUUAGGUAAAUCCGGCUCACCGUUAACACUGAGAGAUGAUGACGAGGCACUAAGGUGCUGAAGUAACUGAUACCACACUUCCAGGAAAAGCCACUAAGCUUCAGGCUUUACUAAACCGUACUGAAAACCGACACAGGUGGUCAGGUAGAGAAUACUCAGGCGCUUGAGAGAACUCGGGUGAAGGAACUAGGCAAAAUAGCACCGUAACUUCGGGAGAAGGUGCGCCGGCGUAGAUUGUAGUGACUUGCUCACGAAGGUUGAACCGGUCGAAGAUACCAGCUGGCUGCAACUGUUUAUUAAAAACACAGCACUCUGCAAACACGAAAGUGGACGUAUAGGGUGUGAUGCCUGCCCGGUGCUGGAAGGUUAAUUGAUGGUGUAAUCGAAAGAGAAGCUCCUGAUCGAAGCCCCAGUAAACGGCGGCCGUAACUAUAACGGUCCUAAGGUAGCGAAAUUCCUUGUCGGGUAAGUUCCGACCUGCACGAAUGGCAUAAUGAUGGCCAGGCUGUCUCCACCCGAGACUCAGUGAAAUUGAAAUCGCCGUGAAGAUGCGGUGUACCCGCGGCUAGACGGAAAGACCCCGUGAACCUUUACUAUAGCUUGACACUGAACCUUGAAUUUUGAUGUGUAGGAUAGGUGGGAGACUAUGAAGCGGUAACGCCAGUUAUCGUGGAGUCGUUGUUGAAAUACCACCCUUUAACGUUUGAUGUUCUAACGAAGUGCCUGAAACGGGUACUCGGACAGUGUCUGGUGGGUAGUUUGACUGGGGCGGUCUCCUCCCAAAGUGUAACGGAGGAGCACGAAGGUUUGCUAAUGACGGUCGGACAUCGUCAGGUUAGUGCAAUGGUAUAAGCAAGCUUAACUGCGAGACAGACAAGUCGAGCAGGUGCGAAAGCAGGUCAUAGUGAUCCGGUGGUUCUGAAUGGAAGGGCCAUCGCUCAACGGAUAAAAGGUACUCCGGGGAUAACAGGCUGAUACCGCCCAAGAGUUCAUAUCGACGGCGGUGUUUGGCACCUCGAUGUCGGCUCAUCACAUCCUGGGGCUGAAGUAGGUCCCAAGGGUAUGGCUGUUCGCCAUUUAAAGUGGUACGCGAGCUGGGUUUAGAACGUCGUGAGACAGUUCGGUCCCUAUCUGCCGUGGGCGUUGGAGAAUUGAGAGGGGCUGCUCCUAGUACGAGAGGACCGGAGUGGACGCAUCACUGGUGUACCAGUUGUCUCGCCAGAGGCAUUGCUGGGUAGCUAAAUGCGGAAGAGAUAAGUGCUGAAAGCAUCUAAGCACGAAACUUGCCUUGAGAUGAGUUCUCCCAGUCUAUAAGACUGUAAGGGUUGUUGGAGACUACGACGUAGAUAGGCUGGGUGUGUAAGCGGUGUGAGCCGUUGAGCUAACCAGUACUAAUUGCCCGAGAGGCUUAACUAUACAACGCUCAAGGGUUUUG
This 3148-nucleotide ribosomal RNA is filed under the name Avibacterium paragallinarum. Its description in RNAcentral is "23S ribosomal RNA". It matches the Rfam family "Bacterial large subunit ribosomal RNA". The record is from RNAcentral. Lineage: Bacteria; Pseudomonadati; Pseudomonadota; Gammaproteobacteria; Pasteurellales; Pasteurellaceae.